RNAcentral lists this ribosomal RNA (253 nucleotides) under uncultured bacterium. Its description in RNAcentral is "partial 16S ribosomal RNA". It matches the Rfam family "Bacterial small subunit ribosomal RNA", at positions 524 to 776 of the family's 1533-position model. The record is from RNAcentral.
UACGUAGGGUGCAAGCGUUAAUCGGAAUUACUGGGCGUAAAGCGUGCGCAGGCGGUUAUGUAAGACAGGGGUGAAAUCCCCGGGCUCAACCUGGGAACUGCAUUUGUGACUGCAAGGCUAGAGUACGGUAGAGGGGGAUGGAAUUCCGCGUGUAGCAGUGAAAUGCGUAGAUAUGCGGAGGAACACCGAUGGCGAAGGCAAUCCCCUGGACCUGUACUGACGCUCAUGCACGAAAGCGUGGGGAGCAAACAGG